Molecule: ribosomal RNA, 498 nt
Filed under: uncultured Eubacteriales bacterium
Lineage: Bacteria; Bacillati; Bacillota; Clostridia; Eubacteriales
Description: bacterial SSU rRNA
Rfam family: Bacterial small subunit ribosomal RNA
Source: RNAcentral
AUAAACGCUGCGGCGCACAUAAGACAUGCAAGUCGAACGGAAGUACGUUAUUAAAUUGGAAGGAAGAUUUUAUCUGAAUGAAGUUUGAUAACAAUGGCUUUAGUGGCGGACUGGUGAGUAACGCGUAAGCAAUCUGCCCAUUAGAGGGGAAUAACAAUGAGAAAUCAUUGCUAAUACCGCAUAUGCCAUAGUGAAGACAUCUUCACAGUGGGAAAGGAGCAAUCCGCUAAUGGAUGAGCUUGCGUCUGAUUAGUUGGUUGGUGGGGUAACGGCCUACCAAGACGACGAUCAGUAGCCGGACUGAGAGGUUGAACGGCCACAUUGGGACUGAGAUACGGCCCAGACUCCUACGGGAGGCAGCAGUCGGGAAUAUUGCGCAAUGGAGGAAACUCUGACGCAGUGACGCCGCGUAUAGGAAGAAGGUUUUCGGAUUGUAAACUAUUGUCGUUAGGGAAGAAAAAGACAGUACCUAAGGAGGAAGCUCCGGCUAACUACGUG